RNAcentral lists this long non-coding RNA (1116 nucleotides) under Monodelphis domestica (gray short-tailed opossum). RNAcentral's name for it is "lncRNA (ENSMODG00000047942.1)". Lineage: Eukaryota; Metazoa; Chordata; Mammalia; Didelphimorphia; Didelphidae. The record is from RNAcentral.
UAGCGGCUCAAUAUUUGCCAAGGAAAAAAAUCUUCAUUGCCAAGGGUGCCAAGGAGCUCUGAGCUUUCAAAACAGAAGCUGAGGAGAGGAGAAAAAAACCCAUCAAUCAAUGGUACUCACAACGGGAAGAAGACAGAGUAAGAAUGCUAGCAUUGCAUAUAUCUGUCAACUUUACGUGUGUGUGUUUUAAUUACUCUACUAAUUAGUAGUCAGACUAAAAUUAGAGGCUUUUUUUGUAGCUUCCCAUCUCUUUCCCAUGCAUUUUAAUUGAAUGCUGCCACUGUCAGCUGUCACCCAUGGAGAUGAAUGGAGGCCCUGAUUCCUGCAGCAUUCACACAAGAUCAGGAUGUCAGAGUUCCAGAAAGAGAACAAAAGCAAGAUAAUAUAUGUUUAAGAAGUAAUGAAAAGAGGAAGCUGAGUUUUGGAAUGACUCUUCAGAGCCCAGUUCAUCUCCUUCCUAAUAUGUGAAUCCUAUCUAUGUAUGACAUUGCUUAAAAAAAAAAAGUAUGAAUCUUCCAAGCAGUCCAAAGGUUAUAUGAAAGGAAUUGCAUUGCCAUGAAGGUUAAUUUAAGACAAGGUAGUUCAUUAGGUGUUUUUGAGGGCAUAUUUCUUCUAUUUCCUUCAUCUCUCAUCUUAUUGCCAGGUUACUAUUAUAGGCUGCCUCAUUUUCAAAGAUGGUUUAGUGUGAUAUAAUGCUUGACUGAAAAUAAGGUUCAAAGUUCAAAUUCUGAUUAUAUAUUGAAGGAUGUUAGAGAACUGGGGAGGAGGGAGAGAAGUGACAGAGACAGAGAGACAAGCACAGAUAACAUGAGACAGAGAGAUAGAAAAAGGAAAAGAGAAACAAUGAGAGACAAGGACCAAAGACAGACAGGGUUAGAGGGAGAAAAGGAGGUAGGGAGAAAAGGGAUAAUGAACAGGAGAGAGAUCUGAGAGGAGGAAGAGGGAGGCAAUGAAAGAGGAGGAGGAGAAAGAGAGGAGGCAGAGUGAGUAGGUGGGGAGCUCCCUCCCCCAUGCCUUAUCAAAAAGAAAAAACAAAAGUCUCAUUCUUGGUGACUCAGAAACAUUAGUAUAAACCUCCAUUUUUGUUGGUAAUAAAACAGCAGAAUUUUUUUAUCA